Molecule: ribosomal RNA, 623 nt
Filed under: Edwardsiella piscicida
Lineage: Bacteria; Pseudomonadati; Pseudomonadota; Gammaproteobacteria; Enterobacterales; Hafniaceae
Description: bacterial SSU rRNA
Rfam family: Bacterial small subunit ribosomal RNA
Source: RNAcentral
AAUUAGUGGCACGUGAAGCACACGCAGGCGGUUUGUUAAGUUGGAUGUGAAAUCCCCGGGCUUAACCUGGGAACUGCAUCCAAGACUGGCAAGCUAGAGUCUCGUAGAGGGAGGUAGAAUUCCAGGUGUAGCGGUGAAAUGCGUAGAGAUCUGGAGGAAUACCGGUGGCGAAGGCGGCCUCCUGGACGAAGACUGACGCUCAGGUGCGAAAGCGUGGGGAGCAAACAGGAUUAGAUACCCUGGUAGUCCACGCUGUAAACGAUGUCGAUUUGGAGGUUGUGCCCUUGAGGCGUGGCUUCCGAAGCUAACGCGUUAAAUCGACCGCCUGGGGAGUACGGCCGCAAGGUUAAAACUCAAAUGAAUUGACGGGGGCCCGCACAAGCGGUGGAGCAUGUGGUUUAAUUCGAUGCAACGCGAAGAACCUUACCUACUCUUGACAUCCAGCGAAUCCUGUAGAGAUACGGGAGUGCCUUCGGGAACGCUGAGACAGGUGCUGCAUGGCUGUCGUCAGCUCGUGUUGUGAAAUGUUGGGUUAAGUCCCGCGACGAGCGCAACCCUUAUCCUUUGUUGCCAGCGGUUCGGCCGGGAACUCAAAGGAGACUGCCAGUGAUAAACUGGAAGAA